GGAGAACUGAAGAAAUGCCUCCCACCAGCUUGGAAACAUCCCUACUUUUUCAUAUUGCUGACACAUAUUAGUAUCUGUCUAAUUGCAAAAGUCAAAACCACCACAGGUAUGAAAUUUACUGCAUGUAAUGCCCUAAGAGAGAAUAUUAUGAAAAUGAUAUACAGGUGGUACAUGACACCAGUCAAGCUUGCAAAAAUCUACCAUGUGCCCGAUAAUAAAUGUUGGAAAUGUAAGGAAAAUGAAGGUACUUUUUUUCACCUUUGGUGGACGUGCCCAAAGAUUAAGGCUUUCUGGGAAAUGAUAUAUAAUGAAUUGAAAAAGGUAUUUAAAUAUACCUUCUUGAAGAAACCAGAGGCCUUUCUCUUGGGCAUAGUCGGCCAAUUGGUGCCAAAGAGGGACAGAACUUUCUUUAUGUAUGCCACAACAGCAGCAAGAAUUCUUAUUGCAAAGUAUUGGAAGACACAAGAUCUACCCACCUUGGAAGAAUGGCAGAUGAAGGUGAUGGACUAUAUGGAACUGGCGGAAAUGACUGACAGAAUCCAAGACCAGGGAGAAGAGUCGAUGGAGGAAGAUUGGAAAAAGUUUAAAGAUUAUUUACAGAAAUAUUGUAAAAUUAAUGAAUGUUAGAAUGAUGUUGGAUAGAAACUAAGUGGUCUUUAGCUGAAAGGUUACAAGGGAAGAUGAAAAAAGGGUUUAUUAUGUAAUAUGUAAAAAUCUAAAAUUACAACAUCUUUAUGAUUAAUGAUUAGGAUACUAAAAGAGGGGAGGGAUUUGCUGAACAAAAUAAUUGAACUGGAAUACAAAAAAGGGAGGUGUGAGGAGGUCGGGGAAACAAGCAAAUGAAAGAUAAAUAUGGAAAGACUAAUCUGUUUUUUAACUGUUUUUAUUUUGUAUUUUCAUUUUCUAUUUGUUUUCUCUUUUUUUCUUUCUUUUUUCGCUUAUUUUUGUAAUAUGUUGAAACUUUAAUAAAUAUCUUAUAUAAAAAAAAAAGUCAAAACCAAACAGGAACUUUUGUAUUUUAUUCGCUUGAUCUGAUUAAAUUCCGAUUUUGGAAUGGUUCUGGUUCUGUUUCCACCACCGGUGGAAGACAAGAGCGAGUUCAUUCAUGCAGGUCUAAAUGUUUGAUUACUUCAGGGUUCUCCAGCCACAAUGUGCUACUUCUGUCACUUUUUAUGAAGAUACUGAUUAGCAUUAUAGAAACAACGCACAUGUCCUCUAGGAACGUGCCCAUAAUCAGCACUGUCAUUGCUGAUCACAUUAGAACUCAGUGCUCACAGUCCAGGCCACUCUUAGCAUCUGGAUUCCUCAUCAGAGGCAGAGUAAUUUGCAAUUAGUCUCUGAACAUUCCAGGUGAGAAGGCCAACCCUCGAGGGCUGUUUCUCCCAGAGAGAGAAAAGUUAUUCAGCAAAUUAGUCCAAUACAUUGAUUUUUUUUCCUUUCCAAAGAAGUGUUAGAGACAAAAUAAAUGUCUUUCAUUUCACCUGUGUGGGAUGGCCAUUAGAACUCUAGAUAAAAACAAUAUUAAUAAAAGGAGACAGUUAUUACCAGUGCAGCUGCCAAAAGCAAGGAGGGGUAAACUCAAUUCUGGCAUAGUUCUUAAGAGGACACUUCCUCCGGGAGAUCCCUGCAUAGAAAUAAGUAGAAAUCUACGCACAGCUACAAGCAGGGAUGUAGAAACGUGCCUUGUAUUCUUCUGACAUUCAUUUGCCCUUUCACCUGGUAUUUUCUGUUCCGCUGAAAUUGCUUUAUUUUACAAGAGUCUUUCUUCUUUUUCUUGUUCUCUGACCCAUUUUGAUGCAUAUAUAAUGUGUAUCAUAGAGCACAAUGGCCAUGCAUAUUUUAGCCAUCAAUAGAUAUUUACAAAUUAAUUACCUUCCCUGUGUGUUCCCUUUCAAAGUUAAUGAAUUUCUAGAGGGGUAGCUCUCUUAGUCCUUUGAAGCAAAAAGAACAACGGGUCUUAAAGAGAAAGUUAAUAACCCCUCACAAAUCCAUCUCUGGCUGCAAUUCUAAUCAUAUCUACAGUACUCAGAUACAAAUCCCACUGAAUUCAAUUGGGCUUACUCCUAGGUAAGUGGGGUGUGGAAUGCAGCCCAUCUUGCUACCAAGAUUUCACAGUUCAGUAUAAAUUUGUCAUCCUGGCUCAUUUCCCUCACUCAUGGAUUAGGGAGGUUAGUUCUUCCCUUUUUUGCUCUUUUUGUCCUGGAUUAUCUGAGUUACUCCUUCACUCCGUGUAAUUCCAGGUAACCACAUGUAAGUCCUUUUAUUGUGACAUUUUAUUUCAUAAAUGUUUAUUUUAAUCAGAAAAUGGUGCCUGUCGAUGAUUUGUGUGUCUGAUUUUGUAUGUCUGAUUUAUUUAUUAUUUAUCACACAUUUAUUUGUCUGAUUUAUGUUUUCAUGAACAUAUUUAAGUGAAGCCUAAUAAUUUAAUUUCUAAAUUUAUCAUUUGAUUCUCUAGUUUGUGAUUUUUAAAAAUGCACCUGGCAAUACUUUGACCUCCACAUUUUGCAUCAUGUCUACCUGCACUACUUCACUGACUGUGUAUUGCACUGCUUCAUUAUGCCAUUUUAAAACAAAGUUUUUGAAACAAAGAUUUAGGGGGUGGAUAAAUGGUAAAAAUGAGCUGUCAAAUCCAGUUUAACUUUAACUGAGGAGCACAGAUAAAAGAACUAUGGCUAAUAAAAGAGGUAACUUCUUUCCAUGAGAAAAGAAUAACGAACAAUGUAUAGCUCUUGUUUUUAAAAUUAACAGUAGGAAUUGGAUUAAGGCUACAAUCCUAAAACCAUUUACCUCGGAGUAAGAACCACUGACUCCAGUGGGGUUUACUUCUGAGUAGAGAUGCAUAGGAUUGCAGCCUUAGAGCAUAGAUGCUGUCUUUCGCAAUGAAUAACCAAUUCAGAGAAGCAACAACAAUGGACAGCAGCAUUUAUACACCUAUGAAUAUGUAAAUUGCAAGCAAUUAUGAUUCUAUUUAUGUAUGGUGCCUGCAUAUUAAAAACAAUGUUUUUGGAGAGAACGAAAGUGAAAAAUAUGGAUAGCAAGUGUCUGUUCCAUGAUGGAUUUAAAACAGGCAGAUGGAAGGAAAUCUGCUUGAUGGUCCAUUUUCAACAGAUUCCUUUGACAUCCUUUGUGAAAAGUGAAUGUUGGCCUUUUGCAUUUAGCUCCUCAUUGUCAAGCAAAGUAAAAUAUGCAGCUUGCCUCCCCCCCCCCCCCGUGUUUAAAAAUAUAUUCAUGCUAGAGAAAUUUCAAGACUGCAUCCAAGGCUACAGUCUUAUAGUUAGGAGUAAGCCCCACUGAACUCACCUUCUAUUACUUCUUGUAUUACUAUUGUAUACAAUAUGCAUACUGAGCCCUUUGGCACAUAAGAUUCUCAGUGUUGGCAGAGAUGCCUCCAUCUUGAAAUGAAUAGUCAGACCUUAUAAGUGAGAAGAUUUUGUUGAUAUCAGAGUGACUUUGCUCACAGAAUCAGGACCUCAUGUGACUAGAGCAAGGGGUAAAUACGAUAAAAUAAAAUAAAAUAAAAUAAAAUGAGGGGAAGAUCCAAAAGCUUUCAGCAUUUCUGACUUGGAAUUUCAAGCUUACCUCUGUGAUAAUUUCUUAUAAAUAUGGUCUGAUACAGCUCAUAACAAUCUUAGAAGAACAUUUCUGAUAUUGUGUGAACACAAUACCAGACCGGUGUUAUAUGGUCUCGGUGGCCGCUCCAAGUCACCAGUCUAGCUGCCGCAUUCAGGAUUAGUUGUAGUUUCCGGGUCACCUUCAAAGGUGACAUAGAGUGCAUUGCAGUAGUCCAAGUGGGAGAUAACUAGAGCAUGCACCACUCUGGCAAGACAGUCUGCGGGCAGGUAGGGUCUCAGCCUGUGUACCAGAUGGAGCUGAUAAACAGCUGCCCUGGACACAGAACUGACCUGCACCUCAAUGGACAGCUGUGAGUCCAAAAUGUCUCCCAGGCUGCGCACCUGGUCCUUCAGGGGCACAGUUACCCCAUUCAGGACCAGGGAGUCCUCCACACCCGCCUGCCUCCUGUCCCCCCAAAACAGUACUUCUGUCUUGUCAGGAUUCACCCUCAAUCUGUUAACCACCAUCCAUCCUCCAACCACUCACACAGGACCUUCACCGCCUUCACUGGUUCAGAUUUGAAAGAGAGGUGGAGCUUUUCUUCGAAUCCCUGAAGAAAAGUCCUGUGGAAGUGGUGCAAUAACUAGAUACAGGGUUGGAUGCAGAGAAGAGUGAGCAGAACUCUGCUUCCACAAUGGGACUUUCCUGGCUCCUCCCAAAAGCUGCUUUUGAGGGUUAAGAGGCCCCUUGGAACAGCAUGGGAAGGGAUGUGGGGAACUGCAGCAGGACAGGGGAAAGUAGAAUUUGGAUGGAGUGCCUUGUGCAAGAGGAAGCGCCUUCUUGCUCAUGCAAGACAGCUUUGGAUCCAUGCCACAGCAUGAGCUGUGAAUGUGAACAACUGCGGUUUUGUAUGUACAAAUAAAUUACUAAUGGGAGAAUUAGGUUUCCUUGUUGAUUAGCAUCAACCAGCUAUAGAUCCUCCAGCUAUAGAUCACACAUCUCCCCUGCGCAUCUUUCUUCAAGAAGCAAACACAUUCACCUCUCCCUUGUCCCUGCUACUGCAAGGCAUUCCUCUCUAUGAGCAAGCUUCUCUCUUUGUUGGCCAUAUUCCUCUUGCAGGAUCAGAGUUAGAUGUGCUAAGGGGAAAGUUUGCUGUUGCCUUGCGGGUGGGGGAGAAGCAAUAAUGAUGAUUGUCUGUACCAAACCUGAGCAUGAAAGUGAGAAAUUGUGAUUGCUGCAGUGGAAGGCCUGGUUUAUUAACUUUCUUCUGGCUGCCCAGAAAGGGUGCCAGAGGGCAAGGGAAGUAUACCGUAUCAGUGUUUCUCUCAAGGCGCCUCACUUGCCUGAAUCUGGGAUUUAUUCACAACAGGAGAAGCAAGGCAGCAAAUAAGCCCAUUCAGCUCAAGAAUCUUAUCCAGCAGAAGGGAGCUAGUAGAUAAGGGAGCCCGCUGUCCAGUCCAAUAAGAAGAUAAUGAUAGCUAAGAAGACUUAGCUGGCUAAAAGUGAGCACUUAGCGCCAGGAUCGCUUACGGAUGUGCCGUGAUCUUUUUCUUGGUCUUGGAAAACAAAACACAACAAGCCAAAGUAGACCAUGGGGGUUUCUUCUGCUGGUGGGCUGGGUUCUUUUCUCUUUCUGUUAUACUAAUUAAAAAGCAACAGAGCACAGCAGCUGUCUGUGAAGGUGUCAAAACUAAGCUAGCCCUCUAUUGUAAGAUUGUAACUAGAAUGCACCCGGCAUGUAUCUGGCAGAAGUUUUUGUACUCAACAGAUUAGCCAAAUGACUCCACUUGGCAAGCUGUGCUACAGGGGAAAGGAAUCUGUGUCCUUUCCUCUCCUGUUCUGAUGUCCAUUUACCAAGACAGGCAGUAGCAUGGUGCAGUGGUCAGGGUGUUAGAGCAGGACUUAGAGGACCAGGGUUCAAAUCCUUACUCAGCCAUGAAUCUCAGUGGGCCAGUGUGACUCUUGGGCCAGUCACAGCCCUGAAUCUGAACCUUCUUCAGAGGGUUUGGGGUGGGGCGAUAAAAUGGAGAGGGGGAGAAACAUGCACGCCACCUUGAGUUCCUUGGAGGAAAGGCAGAAUGUGAAUGU
This is a non-coding RNA of Podarcis lilfordi (Lilford's wall lizard), 5640 nucleotides long. NCBI's taxonomy places the organism in Eukaryota, Metazoa, Chordata, Lepidosauria, Squamata, Lacertidae. The record is from the annotation of a GenBank genome assembly.